GAAAAAAAGAAGGAGAUUGGCAGCAGAUGUUAGCUCAGGUGCCAAUCUUUAAAAGAAAGAAAAAACUGUUCAUAUUUUUUGGAAUCAAGAUUUUCAGUGUGAAAGUAAGAGUUCAGUUAAAGAAUCAAAGACAUUAAGAAGGAACACUGUUAUGUAGUGAUUUUUAAACAUACGUUUAUCUUUUCUAAUUCUAUUUCUACCAAAACUGCUUAGGAACAAAUGCCACCCCAACAGCAUGAAUGAAUCCAUGAAAAGUCUUCAUGAAGUAUAUAUCACAUAAAGUAUACAAGAUCACAUACAACUAUCUUUUUGCUAAAAAUAUUUAAAUUUAAUUUAAUUAAACCUUUGAAUUUAACUUCUAAUUUAAGGGAACCACGGGAACUGGAGGGAAAAAAUAGUGACUAUUGCAAGGAUGAUCAGCCAAAUGUGGACGGUAGAGGUGGAACCUUCUCCAGGACAAGUGACAGUCUUCACAGCUCAUGAGAGUUUCCUCACAAAGAGGUGCUGUUGAAGAAGAGAAAACUAAAGGGACAUAGAUGUGAUGUGUGGAUCUUAGUUAUGACAGAUAAGCAGCAAAGGAUAUGUUAAGGCAAUUAGGGAAAUGUGAAUAUGGAUGGAGUAUUAGUUAACAUUAAGAAAUUGUAAUCCAUUUUAUUAGAUGUUAUCCUGUUGUUUUGGCUAUGAAAGUAAGUAUUCUUGUAUUUGGAGAAGCACUCUGAAAUAUUUAGAAGUUUGUUUAGAAACGUUACUCGGUCUGUAAUUGAUAUUAAAAUAUAGCACAGACAGUGAAAUACAAAUGUGUGUACAUGUUAGUUUUAAUCGACCCCUUAAGAGUGAUCAGUUUGCCCUAACAAGGAAUGCAGAUUCCAAGAAUAGUUAGCUGGAUUUUUAUUCCAAAGGCCAAACUCCAAGUUGGCUGAUGAUAGCAUUCCAACUAUCUUUAUCUUUAAUUAACACCAGAAGUUUUGUUAAUUAGCAUAAUUGCAUACUAAAUUAAAUUUUUACAGGUAAAAUUAUUAGCUGGUUAGUGAACAUAAUGGAUAUUAGAGAUGAGUUUUCGUUAGUGAAUUAGUAGUUUUCAAGAUGUGUGGAUUUGAGUAGAAGUACUUUAGAGACAUUCUUGCCCUUGAAUAAACAGGUCAUAAAAAUCAAGCAAGCAGAGCAAUCUGUGUCCUUAGAAAUGCUACUCUCAGCUUCAUUCCUAAAUGGUCUUAAUGUCCGUCUACUCACUCCAGAGGAUUUUUGCUUACCUGACUCCCAUAAGUAUGGUGAGCUGAAUCUUGCCGCCAGAUUAUUGUCACAUUUGAAGCACCAGAAAUAAAGCUGGGGCUUUAAUGAGGCCACUGCACAGUUUGUCUGAGGACUUUGAGCCUCCUUGUAUUUGUGUCAGGAUUAUGUUCUAGACUUGUUUUCACUGACACCUGGUAUGAAGUUGUGGCGAGGGACCCACAACCUUCACUUGCCUCUAACUGCCAUUUGCCGAAAGGAAUCUAGUAGUCGUGAAUGACAAAAUUGGCUUUGAUCACUUUGCAACACCAUUCUUCUUGUCACAGAGAUUGAUUAAAGAAUGUAAAUGUAACCUAAAUAAGUACAGUAAGAUGGAAACGUGGGAGUUUUGAAGGAAUUAAUUAGAAAGUGCUGUUUUUCAAAGACACUGGAAUUGCCAAGCUGUUUGAGUAGAAUUCCAAAGCGGCUUAGGGCCAUAUUUGCAAUUGCAUGGGAAGGGUCUGUGUGAAAACGAAUCCAAAACCUAGGAAAACAAGAUUUAGAGGCAGACAGAUUCUUGAUCUUUGAGCAUCUGGAUCCAGAAAUGCUGGAAAUUAGUUCUUGCCGUGGACUUUUCGAUUAUAAGAAAGUCAAAAUUAUCCUCAACAAUUUGGGUUACAUUUCUGUCUUUGUAACUAGGACAGAUCUUUAUAAAAUAUAAAAUUACAUAUUUUCUGAGAGUAGUAGAGGAGUAAAAAGGAUAUCUAGCUUUGUUUUGUUUUUUUCCCACACUCAUCUUUGCUGUUUUCUUUUCUCAGUUAUCUCUUGGUUGGGUGAAGCUCAAGAGAUACAUAGUUCUAGUCAGAGUUUAUGUCAUGUGUGGGAUCCUCCUAGCACAUCUUUAGCAACGCUAAUCCAGGCUUACUGAUGGAUGAAAGUGCUAGAGAAUAGAUGCAUAACAAGAGCUUUGUGUAUUCAUAGAACCUAUUUGAAAUAACUUGAUCAAUAAAUGUUCCUGAUUUUACUCGUUUGAUAUCUAGACUAUCUUUCUUGACUCAGUGAUUUGUUUCAACUCAAAUUGUCCACAUACUAGUAGGAGAGUGAAGCAAGAUAGUUGAGGAUAAUAGCAGAAGGGUGUUUAAGUGUUAGGACAUUAUAUGUAAACUGAGAUGUGGAGAACGUUAAUACAGAGAUCACUGAUGGAGUGAGGAUAGACACAGGAGCUAAUGGACUGGUUUUGUAAGGACAAAGAACUAAAUUGCUGAUUGAGAGGGUAGGAAGGACAGGAGUCUAACAGAGUAAAUUCAGGACAACUUUCAUGAGUAGCCUCUGUCAUCACUCUGAAGCCUGACUGACUGGCAAUACGUUCAUGACUCCUUUCUAUAAUUACAAUAGAAAAUAAUUCACUCAUUCAGAUUUCUUAGACUUCCAACAAGGUUUGUGUUAUUAUAUGUUAUAAUCCUAAUAUGUAUAAUCAUACUGAUAAAUUGGGAUUAAUCUAGCCACACUGACAUUUCACAUAUACUUUAUUCUCUUCUAAGACUUUUGUUUGUUACAGAAAAGAAAAAAAACCUAUAAGAACAAGCAAUCAUGAAGAAAUUUGCAAAUCAUAAUCGGAAAGAUUGUUUAAUUUUCCAAUAUCCAACUAACUCUAAAAAUAUCCAGAAGCAUAUGAUAUAUAUCUCUUCUUAGUUGUGCAUCUACCGUAAAAAAAAAAACUAUGGAAAACCUUGAGGGCAAGGGCCUGAAUCAAGUGUUUCAUUCAAACACCAUUCAUUGUGGACCCAUUUUGUAAAAAUGCCACGAUCCAUUAACAAUGAGAAAAUUAGUAGGUUGUACCUGAAUUCUUACUUUGCAUAGAAAAAGUAUAUAAUUUAGCUGAUGAUUCUUGUCUUGGUAGCUAAUAAAGGUGCGCUUUUCUCACCUUUUCCUCCCCAAGAGCUAAUCAUCAGGUCAUUUAUUUCUCAAUUCCAUAAAAAUCCUUCAGAAGUAAGUAAAUAAAACGUUGGGGUGUGAAUGAACUUACCAACUCAAAUAAAAAUCUAUUUACUUGGCUAGAAAAACCAGAUUUGUUACCAAUAGCUAUCAAGAGUACAGCUAUUUAUGAAGUAUUUUUUAAUAACCACAUUUGGUUCAGUUUAUUUGCUUUUAACUUUUUUGUCACAAUUACUUCUCAUUCGCAUUAGUUUGUUUUCUUCCUAUCUGUUCAGAAGCCACUUGAUAUCUCCUUUUUGGUUGGAAAGGAGAUAUUUAAUUAAAAAAUUGAUCAAGCAAUCAAUUAUAAAAGUGUUGAUAUGAAUAUGGUUAUGUGAUAUACUUCAUAUACCUGUAUACACUUAUAUAUGACUCCCUUCAUUUCUCAUUUUUUCUAUCAAUAUUCCAUAUUCUUUGAUCAAACUUACGUCAGAUUAGCUAGUUAGUCCAUGUAGCUUACACAAAUUUGUUUACAUUGUCCAAUUGUUGUCAUUUGUAAGAAACACUUAAUUUCCCUUUAGCAGCAACUGUUUCAUUUCUGUAGUAGUCAUCUCUGUUCAAGAAAAUGAGCGGUGAUGCGGGCUUUAUUAAUUAGCAAGCCCUGAGGAAUACCAGCUUAAUUAAAUCCAUUUUAAAAUACACAAUAUAAGCUAUAGCUGUCUGUUAAUGAUUAACACAUCUUGUUUAUUUAGUCCUAUUUUUUCUCCUAAAUCUUUUCUUUUCAACCUACGAGCUUCCAGCUGUUUCCUCAAAGCAACGUGAAACAGCUGCUGAGAGAUACGAACUCAAACAUCCAAAAGGCAUUCAGUAUCUUCAGAUUUCCUGUUCUCUAUACUGCUGAUAUGACAUUUGCUUUAGAAGACACAUACCUCUAGCUACCCUGUGGCUGAAUGACCGGAAUAAGACAAGAACAGAGGCAGGAGACUAAUUAGAUGGCUAUUACAGUGGUCCAAGCAAGAUACGAGGGUGCAGCAAACUGUCAGAUUACAGGAUGGACCAGUCAAGCAAAUGCCUGAGCAUGUUUCUGGGAUCAGCACAAAUCUGCACGCCACUCUGAGUGGAGCCCUGCACUGGAAGAUUUAUUGAAGAAAGAAGAAAAGGAAACCAUAGGUCCAGGAAGGUGACAGGAGACAUGAAAGGAUAAGAGUACUUCGGCCUGGACUUGGGGAAGUAUUUUGGGUGAGGAAGGAAAAAUCGGGCUUGAAGAGAAAUUUUGUGGGCAUCCCCUAUGGAAAACAAUUUUAAGGAUGAUUACUUUCGUUACAUUUGGAGUUGACAUUCUUUGAGAAAGACUGAGUAAAGAAUGGAUU
Molecule: non-coding RNA, 4490 nt
Organism: Equus caballus (horse)
Lineage: Eukaryota; Metazoa; Chordata; Mammalia; Perissodactyla; Equidae
Source: RefSeq, a predicted model, not a curated record